UUUUAGUGGGGAAUAACUUUGGGAAACCGAAGCUAAUACCGCAUAAUCCCGAGAGGGGAAAGCAGCAAUGCGCUGAAAGAGUAGUCCGCGGCUGAUUAGCUAGUUGGUGAGGUAAUGGCUCACCAAGGCUUUGAUCGGUAGCCGGCCUGAGAGGGCACACGGCCACACUGGCACUGAAACACGGGCCAGACUCCUACGGGAGGCAGCAGUGGGGAAUCUUGCACAAUGGACGAAAGUCUGAUGCAGCGACGCCGCGUGAGCGAUGAAGCCCUUCGGGGUGUAAAGCUCUUUCGACAGGAACGAUAAUGACGGUACCUGGAGAAGAAGCUGCGGCUAACUACGUGCCAGCAGCCGCGGUAAUACGUAGGCAGCGAGCGUUGUUCGGAAUUACUGGGCGUAAAGGGUGAGUAGGUGGUGCUAUAAGUUCGGUGUGAAAUCUCCCGGCUCAACUGGGAGGGUGCGCCGAAAACUGUGGCGCUCGAGUGUGGGAGAGGUAAGCGGAAUUCCUGGUGUAGCGGUGAAAUGCGUAGAUAUCAGGAGGAACACCGGCGGUGUAGACGGCUUACUGGACCAUUACUGACACUGAAUCACGAAAGUGUGGGUAGCAAACAGGAUUAGAUACCCUGGUAGUCCACACCCUAAACGAUGCAUACUUGGUGUGAGCCAUUCAUUUGGUUCGUGCCGGAGCUAACGCGUUAAGUAUGCCGCC
Molecule: ribosomal RNA, 709 nt
Filed under: uncultured Acidobacteriota bacterium
Lineage: Bacteria; Pseudomonadati; Acidobacteriota
Description: bacterial SSU rRNA
Rfam family: Bacterial small subunit ribosomal RNA
Source: RNAcentral